AGAGUUUGAUCAUGGCUCAGAACGAACGCUGGCGGCGUGGAUAAGACAUGCAAGUCGAACGGGAACUUUCGGUGUAGCAAUACAUUGAAAGUUCUAGUGGCGAACGGGUGCGUAACACGUGGACAAUCUGCCUUAAAGUGGGGGAUAGCUCGGCGAAAGCCGAAUUAAUACCGCAUGUGAUCAGGGAAGACAUCUUUCCGACAUCAAAGCCGGGGCAACCUGGCGCUUUUAGAGGAGUCCGCGGCCUAUCAGCUAGUUGGUGAGGUAACGGCUCACCAAGGCUUUGACGGGUAGCUGGUCUGAGAGGACGACCAGUCACACUGGAACUGAGACACGGUCCAGACACCUACGGGUGGCAGCAGUCGAGAAUUUUUCUCAAUGGGGGAAACCCUGAAGGAGCGACGCCGCGUGGAGGAUGAAGGUCUUCGGGUUGUAAACUCCUGUCAUUUGGGAACAAGUCGUACGUAGUAACUAUACGUGCGUUGAUAGUACCAGAAGAGGAAGAGACGGCUAACUCUGUGCCAGCAGCCGCGGUAAUACAGAGGUCUCAAGCGUUGUUCGGAUUCAUUGGGCGUAAAGGGUGCGUAGGUGGCGCUGUAAGUCAGGUGUGAAAUUUCGGAGCUUAACUCCGAAACUGCAUUUGAUACUGCGGUGCUUGAGGACUGGAGAGGAGACUGGAAUUUACGGUGUAGCAGUGAAAUGCGUAGAGAUCGUAAGGAAGACCAGUGGCGAAGGCGGGUCUCUGGACAGUUCCUGACACUGAGGCACGAAGGCCAGGGGAGCAAACGGGAUUAGAUACCCCCGUAGUCC
Molecule: ribosomal RNA, 810 nt
Filed under: uncultured bacterium
Lineage: Bacteria
Description: bacterial SSU rRNA
Rfam family: Bacterial small subunit ribosomal RNA
Source: RNAcentral